GUUUGUCGCGUUGUUCGUGAAAUCUCACGGCUUAACUGUGAGCGUGCGGGCGAUACGGGCAGACUUGAGUACUGCAGGGGAGACUGGAAUUCCUGGUGUAGCGGUGGAAUGCGCAGAUAUCAGGAGGAACACCGGUGGCGAAGGCGGGUCUCUGGGCAGUAACUGACGCUGAGGAGCGAAAGCGUGGGGAGCGAACAGGAUUAGAUACCCUGGUAGUCCACGCCGUAAACGGUGGUUACUAGGUGUGGUUUCCUUCCUUGGGAUCCGUGCCGUAGCUAACGCAUUAAGUACCCCGCCUGGGGAGUACGGCCGCAAGGCUAAAACUCAAAGAAAUUGACGGGGGCCCGCACAAGCGGCGGAGCAUGUGGAUUAAUUCGAUGCAACGCGAAGAACCUUACCUGGGUUUGACAUGCACAGGACGCCGGCAGAGAUGUCGGUUCCCUUGUGGCCUGUGUGCAGGUGGUGCAUGGCUGUCGUCAGCUCGUGUCGUGAGAUGUUGGGUUAAGUCCCGCAACGAGCGCAACCCUUGUCUCAUGUUGCCAGCGGGUAAUGCCGGGGACUCGUGAGAGACUGCCGGGGUCAACUCGGAGGAAGGUGGGGAUGACGUCAGGUCAUCAUGCCCCUUAUGUCCAGGGCUUCACACAUGCUACAAUG
This 654-nucleotide ribosomal RNA is filed under the name uncultured bacterium. RNAcentral describes it as "bacterial SSU rRNA". It matches the Rfam family "Bacterial small subunit ribosomal RNA", at positions 578 to 1232 of the family's 1533-position model. The record is from RNAcentral.